RNAcentral lists this unclassified non-coding RNA (408 nucleotides) under Hevea brasiliensis (rubber tree). Lineage: Eukaryota; Viridiplantae; Streptophyta; Magnoliopsida; Malpighiales; Euphorbiaceae. The record is from RNAcentral.
AAAUUGAUCCACAGCUGGGAUCAGUAGAAAAAUGUGAAGAUCAGCUUGGUGCUGAGAUGGAGCAACAUUUUAUUGUUGAAAAGUGUAGUAUAGGUGAGAUAUAUGAGGAUGGUAAUGAUGGGCAACUAGAGUCAGCAACGGGGAAAAUAGGAGUUGAAUUUGAAUUGAUUGCACAAUUCAUUCACAAAACUAAACUUUUUAUUGCAGAUCUUCUUGGGAAUGUUUUUGAAAUUAAGAAACAUAAAAGUGUUUCAAAAAGUAUGGGUGUUGGAAGCAAGUGGCAAUAUUUGGAGAGCCACGAUGGUGAAUUCAACUAUUUUACUCCUAUCAGCCUCAUGGAAGAUGCAUGGGAAAUAUCAAGAAAGGAAAGGAAGAAAGUUAAACCAUCAAAUGGUAUUGUGAUCUUGA